This 167-nucleotide ribosomal RNA is filed under the name Actaea pachypoda. Its description in RNAcentral is "5.8S nuclear ribosomal RNA". It matches the Rfam family "5.8S ribosomal RNA". Rfam says of the family: 5.8S ribosomal RNA (5.8S rRNA) is a component of the large subunit of the eukaryotic ribosome. It is transcribed by RNA polymerase I as part of the 45S precursor that also contains 18S and 28S rRNA. Functionally, it is thought that 5.8S rRNA may be involved in ribosome translocation. Lineage: Eukaryota; Viridiplantae; Streptophyta; Magnoliopsida; Ranunculales; Ranunculaceae. The record is from RNAcentral.
AAACGACUCUCGGCAACGGAUAUCUCGGCUCUUGCAUCGAUGAAGAACGUAGCGAAAUGCGAUACUUGGUGUGAAUUGCAGAAUCCCGUGAACCAUCGAGUCUUUGAACGCAAGUUGCGCYCGAGGCCAUUUAGGUUGAGGGCACGUCUGCCUGGGCGUCACACAUA